CAGAGGUCCCAAGCGUUGUUCGGAUUUACUGGGCGUAAAGGGAGCGUAGGUGGCGGGCUAAGUCUACUGUGAAAGCUCUGAGCUUAACUCAGAAAUGGCAGUGGAUACUAGUUCGCUUGAGGAUUGGAGGGGAGACUGGAAUGCUCGGUGUAGCAGUGAAAUGCGUAGAUAUCGAGCGGAACACCAGUGGCGAAGGCGAGUCUCUGGACAAUUCCUGACACUGAUGCUCGAAAGCUAGGGGAGCAAACGGGAUUAGAUACCCCGGUAGUCCUAGCUGUAAACGGUGCACGCUUGCUGUAGCUGGAAUCGACCCCGCCUGUAGCGAAGCUAACGCGUUAAGCGUGCCGCCUGGGAAGUACGGUCGCAAGAUUA
RNAcentral lists this ribosomal RNA (372 nucleotides) under uncultured organism. RNAcentral describes it as "bacterial SSU rRNA". It matches the Rfam family "Bacterial small subunit ribosomal RNA", at positions 526 to 896 of the family's 1533-position model. The record is from RNAcentral.